UCCGUAGGUGAACCUGCGGAAGGAUCAUUAAUGAUUGACCCUCUGGGUCUUAUCUUAACAUCCCUCACCUCUGUGAACCGUUUGACCUCCGGGUCUUACAAAAACCAUAACAAACAUCAGUGUAAAGAACGUCUUGUUAUCUUAACAAAAACAAAACUUUCAACAACGGAUCUCUUGGCUCUCGCAUCGAUGAAGAACGCAGCGAAAUGCGAUAAGUAAUGUGAAUUGCAGAAUUCAGUGAAUCAUCGAAUCUUUGAACGCACCUUGCGCCUUUUGGUAUUCCGAAAGGCAUGCCUGUUUGAGUGUCAUGAAAUCUCAAUCCCAUCUGGUUUAUGACCGGGUGUUGGACUUGGACGUGGGCGCUGCCGGUCAAACGGCUCGCCUCAAAUGACUUAGUGGGAUCGCUUGCAUCCGUUACAGACGUAAUAAGUUUCGUCUUGUCCCUUGCUCUGCGUACGCCCGCUCAGAACCAAGCUGUCUUGCCUUCACCGGCCUGACACACUUUUUUGACUCUGACCUCAAAUCAGGUAGGACUACCCGCUGAACUUAAGCAUAUCAAUAAGCGGAGGA
Molecule: ribosomal RNA, 570 nt
Filed under: Papiliotrema japonica
Lineage: Eukaryota; Fungi; Basidiomycota; Tremellomycetes; Tremellales; Rhynchogastremaceae
Description: eukaryotic LSU rRNA
Rfam family: 5.8S ribosomal RNA (bases 155-308)
Source: RNAcentral